This 261-nucleotide ribosomal RNA is filed under the name uncultured bacterium. Its description in RNAcentral is "partial 16S ribosomal RNA". It matches the Rfam family "Bacterial small subunit ribosomal RNA", at positions 524 to 776 of the family's 1533-position model. The record is from RNAcentral.
UACGAAGGGGGCUAGCGUUGUUCGGAAUUACUGGGCGUAAAGCGCGCGUAGGCGGACCACCAAGUUGGAUGUAAAAAUCCCAGGGCUCAAACUCUGGAACUGCAUUUCAAAAACUGUUGGUCUAGAGGCUAGGAGAGGUCAGUGGAAUACCGAGUGUAGAGGUGAAAUUCGUAAGAUAUUCGGUGGAACACCAGUGGCGAAAGGCGACUGACUGGACUAGUACUGACGCUGAGGUGCGAAAAGUGUGGGGAGCAAAACAGG